CCUACGGGAGGCAGCAGUGGGGAAUAUUGGGCAAUGGACGCAAGUCUGACCCAGCAACGCCGCGUGAAGGAAGAAGGCUUUCGGGUUGUAAACUUCUUUUAAGGGGGAAGAGCAGAAGACGGUACCCCUUGAAUAAGCCACGGCUAACUACGUGCCAGCAGCAGCGGGAAUACGUAGUUGGCAAGCGUUGUCCGGAUUUACGGGGUGUACCGGGCGUGCAGGCGGAGAGACAAGUCAGAUGUGAAAUCCACGGGCUCAACCCGUGAACUGCCUUUGAAACUGUUUCCCUUGAGUGUCGGAGAGGUAAUCGGAAUUCCUUGUGUAGCGGUGAAAUGCGUAGAGAUAAGGAAGAACACCAGUGGCGAAGGCGGAUGACUGGACGAUAACUGACGGUGAGGCGCGAAAGCGUGGGGAGCAAACAGGAUUAGAUACCCGUGUAGUC
Molecule: ribosomal RNA, 442 nt
Filed under: uncultured bacterium
Lineage: Bacteria
Description: partial 16S ribosomal RNA
Rfam family: Bacterial small subunit ribosomal RNA
Source: RNAcentral